AGGAGGGGGGGUGGGAGGACCCUGUGAGCCCAGCCAGCCAGCCGCACUGCGAGCUGGAACAACACUAAACACAGAAUAUUCAUCUAUGACUUCGACUUCAUGUCUCAUCCUCACAAACUGACUUUAUUCUGCAGUCUGGAAAACACGUGAAUUCGGGACUGACACGUCCAGCACCCACUUCUCUUCUUAUAGUUUGUAAACGAGUUACUGAACCAACUUUCUACUCUGAAGUGAGCUGUUCUCAGUGAGUCCAGUCAUCGAUCAUCUGCCCCGAUGCCAGAAACGGUGUCAUAAUACGAUAAUGCGGCUUCACACAUUCAGCGGUGAUUCCUGUGGUAAAACCCGAGCGUUAGGAUCCGAUGGGACAGUUUUACAGGCAUGAAAUGACUAUCAAAGGCUCCCGCAGUCUGGCCGCUGAGGCUUCGAGGCACGGACACAGGGAAGCCAGAAGGCACGGACUUUUACGCACAGAACACGGGAUCAAAUAAUAAACUGUGCUGACUUGUUUUCGUCCACUUUGCUGAUUUAUUUAUUUAAUGCGUCUCUCUCAACCAGCCCUUCCAGCAGCAUUUGUCACCGGCACUAUUAUUUCAGGUGUGCUAAUGGUGUCGCAGACACUUUUGCAGAGAGAGGAAGAGACAUGAUGAAGUGAAAAAGGAGGACAGGAGAAACUGAAGAACAGGAGGAAAAGAGUAUCAUCGGCAUCAUCAUCAUCACUUGAACUCCCCACUCCCUGUAACCCAAAAAAAAAAAAAAAAAAUCCAGGGAUGAAUGAUCUGAAAGGUGAUCCAUUCAGGGUUGGAGGGGUAAGGGUGGCUGCGGGUGGAUGGGUGAGGAUGAGCGGGGGCUUUUCUCACACCUCCCAGGGAGACUGUGAAUUGAUCAGCACCUAAGAGAGGGAGAAAGAGAGGGAGGGAGGGAAAGUGAGAAGAAAGGAGAGCGGCAAAGCAGAGAAAUGAAGGAUGACGAUGAGAAGAGGGCGAGUGGAAAAAGCUGGGUGUUGGAGCUAAGCUAUAAAACCAGGAGGGGGGAAACAGAGUGAUAGGAAGGGAGGAGUGAGGCAAGGCUGCAGAAGAGGUGUGAAGACUCAUCUUUUUCUGGAUGGGUGUGAGUUUAGGCCGGAGCAGAGAGAGGCCUGGGAGCACAGCAUAGCCUAGUGGUAAUAAACCAGGAAACCCCAGUAGAGAAACAGACAACAUCAGCUAUAAGGAAGCUAUAAAGUGUUUUUAAAAUCAAAAUAUAGUAUUCAGUCUGAGCUUGAUAUCUUUAAAGUUGAUUGCUAGCUAGUUUACUCUUAUAUGGAAAUCGGUUAAAAGGGACCGUUUCAGAAAUUUUAGAAGUCAUGUUUGUUUUUGUACAUUUUAUGAGAUAUUUAAUUCAUAUAAUACACAUAUCAAGGGAAAUUCCAGUCCCCUUGACAUAUUUUGUUUUAAAUUGUAUAAAACAGUAUUGUGUCCAUAGCAUAAAAUGCAGCAUACGGUAAAGGAAACAGUUGGGUAAUCAAUUUAAUCUAAAUAGGUUUCAGUAUUGAACAGCAUUACAGCAAAUAUACAGAUGUUUUUCUCAGGCUUUGCAGCCAAAUUGUACUUUUU
Long non-coding RNA from Haplochromis burtoni (Burton's mouthbrooder), 1592 nucleotides. RefSeq lists it as uncharacterized. The transcript is spliced from 3 exons. The record is from RefSeq and is a predicted model, not a curated record. NCBI's taxonomy places the organism in Eukaryota, Metazoa, Chordata, Actinopteri, Cichliformes, Cichlidae.